RNAcentral lists this ribosomal RNA (497 nucleotides) under uncultured bacterium. RNAcentral's name for it is "partial 16S ribosomal RNA". It matches the Rfam family "Bacterial small subunit ribosomal RNA", at positions 29 to 507 of the family's 1533-position model. The record is from RNAcentral.
AAUGAACGCUGGCGGCAUGCCUAACACAUGCAAGUCGAACGAACGCACGAGAAGCUUUCGCUUCUGAUGUUGGCGGCGGACGGGUGAGUAACACGUGGAUAACCUACCUCUAAGACUGGGGUGAUAACGGGAGACCGGAUCUAAUACCCGAUAAUAUUUUGCACCGCAUUGUUCAAAAGUUAUAGACGCUCUUUCUGACACUUAUAGCCUGAUCCGCGCUGGAUUAGUUAGUGGGUAAGGUAACGGCUCACCAACGCAACGAAGGAUAACCGACCUGAGAGGGUAAUCGGCCAAGCUGGAACGGAGACACGGUCCAGACUCCUACGGGAGGCAGCAGUAGGGAAUUUUUCGGAAUGGGAGAAAGCCUGAAGGAGCAACACCGCGUGAAUGAUGAAGGCCUUCGGGUCGUAAAACUCUGUUAGUAGGGAAGAAAAUAAGUGUAUGUAACCGGGGAUGUUUUGACGAUACCCGAGCAAAAAGCCACGGCUAACUACGUG